CCUCUAAGCCUAAGUAUAUUCUUCUGAUCGAUAGCGAACAAGUACCGUGAGGGAAAGGUGAAAAGAACCCCUGUAGGGGAGUGAAAUAGAACAUGAAACCCUAUGCUGACAACCAGUGGGAGGCAUUUAAAUGCUGACCGCGUGCCUGUUGAAGAAUGAGCCGGCGACUUAGAAAACGUGGCAAGGUUAAGGAAAGAUAUCCGGAGCCGGAGCGAAAGCGAGUCUGAAUAGGGCGAUUAAGUCAUUUUUUCUAGACCCGAACCCGGGUGAUCUAACCAUGACCAGGAUGAAACUUGGGUGACACCAAGUGAAGGUCCGAACCGACCGAUGUUGAAAAAUCGGCGGAUGAGUUGUGGUUAGCGGUGAAAUACCAGUCGAACUCGGAGCUAGCUGGUUCUCCCCGAAAUGCGUUGAGGCGCAGCGGUUCAUAAGGCUGUCUAGGGGUAAAGCACUGUUUCGGUGCGGGCUGCGAAAGCGGUACCAAAUCGUGGCAAACUCUGAAUACUAGAUAUGCUAUUUAUGGGCCAGUGAGACAGUGGGGGAUAAGCUUCAUUGUCGAGAGGGAAACAGCCCAGAUCACUAGCUAAGGCCCCAAAAUGAUCGUUAAGUGACAAAGGAGGUGAGAAUGCUGAAACAACCAGGAGGUUUGCUUAGAAGCAGCCACCCUUUAAAGAGUGCGUAAUAGCUCACUGGUGGAGCGUUCUUGCGCCGAAAAUGUCCGGGACUAAAUGAUCUGCCGAAGCUGUGGGAUAUUUCUAAAAUAUCGGUAGGGGAGCGUUCUGCUGUAGGGUGAAGCAAUGAUGUAAGUCAUUGUGGACGAAGCGGAAGUGAGAAUGUCGGCUUGAGUAACGCAAACAUUGGUGAGAAUCCAAUGCCCCGAAAACCUAAGGAUUCCUCCACUAGGUUCGUCCAUGGAGGGUGAGUCAGGACCUAAGGCAAGGCCGAAAGGCGUAGUCGAUGGCAAACAGGUUAAUAUUCCUGUACUAUUUGCUGUUUGGUACCGAGGGACGGAGCAGGCAGAGAUUGGCCGAGAUUGGAUUUCGGUGGAAACUUUCGACACGGUGAGAGGUAGAAGAAAAACUAACCUUGAGUGAAGAAGUGAUACGUCUCUAUCUUUGGAUAGAGAUCAGUUGACUGUCAUACUCCCAAGAAAAGCUCGAACUACUGUAAAACAUCAAAUACCUGUACCGUAAACCGACACAGGUGGGUUAGUAGAGUAUACUAAGGGGCGCGAGAUAACUCUCUCUAAGGAACUCGGCAAAAUGACCCCGUAACUUCGGGAGAAGGGGUGCCAAGUAACUUAAAUUGCUUGGUCGCAGUGACCAGGCCCUGGCGACUGUUUAUCAAAAACACAGGUCUCCGCAAAGUCGUAAGACAACAUAUGGGGGCUGACGCCUGCCCAGUGCCGGAAGGUUAAAGAAGUUGGUUAUUCUUUGAAGAAGCUGACGACUGAAGCCCCGGUGAACGGCGGCCGUAACAAUAACGGUCCUAAGGUAGCGAAAUUCCUUGUCGGGUAAGUUCCGACCUGCACGAAUGGCGUAAUGAUGGCCAGGCUGUCUCCACCCGAGACUCAGUGAAAUUGAACUCGCUGUGAAGAUGCAGUGUACCCGCGGCAAGACGGAAAGACCCCGUGAACCUUUACUAUAGCUUGACA
Molecule: ribosomal RNA, 1654 nt
Filed under: Chlorella sp. BR2
Lineage: Eukaryota; Viridiplantae; Chlorophyta; Trebouxiophyceae; Chlorellales; Chlorellaceae
Description: bacterial LSU rRNA
Rfam family: Bacterial large subunit ribosomal RNA
Source: RNAcentral